Tribolium castaneum (red flour beetle) is the source of this 91-nucleotide non-coding RNA. Lineage: Eukaryota; Metazoa; Arthropoda; Insecta; Coleoptera; Tenebrionidae. The record is from RefSeq and is marked provisional.
AAUUUUGUGUCUUGUUUAAAGGUCGUGGUUUUGGCAUUUUGCUGUUGAAAUCAGUAUAUCAGACUACGGUCUUUGGAUGAGGCUCAUUUUU